RNAcentral lists this ribosomal RNA (448 nucleotides) under uncultured bacterium. RNAcentral's name for it is "SSU rRNA". It matches the Rfam family "Bacterial small subunit ribosomal RNA", at positions 26 to 518 of the family's 1533-position model. The record is from RNAcentral.
AGAGCGAACGCUGGCGGCAGGCCUAACACAUGCAAGUCGAGCGCGUGUAGCAAUACACGAGCGGCAGACGGGAGAGUAACACGUGGGAACGCGCCCUUCGGUUCGGAAUAACUCAGGGAAACUUGAGCUAAUACCGGAUACGCCCUUACGGGGAAAGAUUUAUUGCCGAAGGAACGGCCCGCGUCCGAUUAGCUAGUUGGUGAGGUAACGGCUCACCAAGGCGACGAUCGGUAGCUGGUCUGAGAGGAUGACCAGCCUCACUGGGACUGAGACACGGCCCAGACUCCUACGGGAGGCAGCAGUGGGGAAUAUUGGACAAUGGGCGCAAGCCUGAUCCAGCCAUGCCGCGUGGAUGAUGAAGGCCUUAGGGUUGUAAAGUCCGUUUAACGGGGAAGAUAAUGACGGUACCCGUAGAAUAAGCCCCGGCUAACUUCGCGCCAGCAGCCGC